CCACAACCUACAGUAAGCACCCCUGGAGUCACACCACCAAGCCAACACUGUGGUAAGUAUAGGACUGUCAGAGAAAGUACAUGACACAACACAGAGAGGCUAGUUAGGUCACACACAGGACAACACAGAGGCUAGUUUAGGUCACACACAAGACAACACAGAGGCUAGUUUAGGUCACACACAGGACAACACAGAGGCUAGUUUAGGUCACACACAGGACAACACAGAGGCUAGUUUAGGUCACUAACAAGACAACACAGAGGCUAGUUUAGGUCACACACAGGACAACACAGAGGCUAGUUUAGGUCACACACAAGACAACACAGAGGCUAGUUUAGGUCACACACAGGACAACACAGAGGCUAGUUUAGGUCACACAAGACAAUAUUUGCAACAUUUGAAGAACAGACAAUGUAAGUGAACUGUGCAUGGAGGACAUUUUUCAUUAUGUGAUCCACAAGCUUUUUUUUCUGUCGCAGAAGGUUGAGUUGAGUUGGAUUCAAUUGAAUGCAAGAGCUGCCUCCUGUCUCCUGCUUCCACUAGUAUCAUUCAGAUCAGUCUAUUUUAACAGCAUGUGUCUAGUACCUACAGUACAGCAUCAGCGAACUCCAUGUCCAGGCACCAGGGAGUUAAGGGAAAAGGGUCAGUUGUACAGCUGAAUGCAUUCAACUGAAAUGUGUCUUUCUCAUUUAACCCAACCCCUUUGAAUCAAGGCACUACAGCCCUGUGUUAUUACAUAUCACUACUCUGGGUCAGUAAGUUGUACUAUGUACUGUACACUGCACAGUGCACUUAUUGUAGACUACCUUUCCUUGAAGGCCAAAAUACUGUCCCAGAGCUCUC
This 843-nucleotide long non-coding RNA is filed under the name Salmo salar (Atlantic salmon). RNAcentral's name for it is "lncRNA (ENSSSAG00000117064.1)". The record is from RNAcentral. Lineage: Eukaryota; Metazoa; Chordata; Actinopteri; Salmoniformes; Salmonidae.